UACGGGGGGUGCAAGCGUUGCUCGGAAUUAUUGGGCGUAAAGCGUACGCAGGCGGCUCUACAAGUCGAGUGUGAAAACCCGGGGCUCAACCCCGGACUGGCAUUCGAAACUGUCGGGCUUGAGUGCGGGAGAGGGAAGCGGAAUUCCUGGUGUAGAGGUGAAAUUCGUAGAUAUCAGGAGGAACACCGGUGGCGAAAGCGGCUUCCUGGCCCGAUACUGACGCUCAUGUACGAAAGCGUGGGGAGCAAACAGG
Molecule: ribosomal RNA, 253 nt
Filed under: uncultured bacterium
Lineage: Bacteria
Description: partial 16S ribosomal RNA
Rfam family: Bacterial small subunit ribosomal RNA
Source: RNAcentral